CGGUUUUAAUCGUGAAAAAAAAAAACAAUUAUAAAUCCUGAAGGAUCAAUUAAUUGGUAUACAGUUUAAUUAAAAAAAUAAAAAAAUAAAUAAAUAAAAUAAUGUGCAUUCGCGUAAAGUUAGACCAAAUACAUUUUUUCCAUCCUCCUAUAUACCUAUCGCUAUGAAGGUAUAAAAAAGAUAGGUUAAGAGUUCACAUAGGUAAUAUCAACAAAUAAGUAAAUAUGUUCAUUAUUGGUUCAUUAUUUAUCUUUCAAGAGAUAAUGUUAUGUAUUGAAAUUGUUGGAAAAUUAUUUCAUGUUUUAGCUGGAAAACGACAUGGAGAAUUAUAUGCAAUACAAGAUAAUGAGCUCCAUCAAAUGAAUUCGAAUGAAACCAAACUGUUUACCAUCCAAAUUCGAUUGUCGGGCAGAUAGAAAACGAAAAUUCACUCAUAGUGAACCUCGGCCUGCAUUUGUGAAACGGCAAAGACUCACUAUUAUCAAGGAAAUUGAAGAGACGACUAAAAAUGAGAUGUGUCGUAUUAUUAUACCUUUGCCAUCUUGUAGUCAAGAUGUCCAGCCACUUGAAAAUAGGUGUAGUAAUGACAAAGCUAUCCAAGUAGCUCCAGCACAGGAACACAAAGGCAAGGCAAGUGUGUAUUGCCACAUCACCCCUUAAUAUAUCUGAAGCAAGUAUAAGUAAACAAUCAGAACCAGCAAAAAAAAAAACUGUUGUUCCUGAGGACAAAUUUGACAGUGAUGAGUCAAAUGCACCAGCAACAGAAGGAUCAACUGUUGACUAUGAGUUAUCUCUCUAUAUCUCCACUCCAUCAAAGACUUGUGCACUUCAGACUAUAGCUCUCAAGAAGACUAAAAAGUUGAAAAAAUGAAUGUGUUAACAACUUUAUCUAAAGUGAAAAAUAAACAACGUUUAUAUAUUGGUCUUCCACAAGAAUUAUGUUUCAUAAUAGGCUUGAUUGAGAAACAUACAAAUGUUUCUGAACAAAAUAUUAUAUUAUGUCUGAUGAGAAUAACAUUAAAUAGAACAUUCUCUCAAUUGGCUGAUGAUUUCGAUUUAUCUGUAAGUUAAGCAAGCAAUAUAUUUUUCAACAAACUCCCAGAAAUUGCAAAUGUAAUAUCACCCCUUGUUAGACUAUAAAAAAACAAUACAAUAAAUAUAUAUGCAGGAAGGAUAAUUGAUGUCAACUUGGUGGAAAAUAGAAAGUUUUUAGAUAGUUUGCCACCUACAAAACUCUUUAAUUAAAUAAGUAAUCCUUACUUAUAAAUAGGAAGUUUUGUAAGUAUUUUCACUCUUCAUUCAAAAACUACUGAACAGAUUUUAAUAAGACUUUUAUGCUGGUCUUCUAUGGCUAGCAACUCAUUAUUAUUUUGAUUCUGUUUUCCACAAAUGUGCUAAAUAUGGGCUUAUAUAUAUGAAAAGGAAUAAAUAUUAAUGUUAUGUAACCUUUGUACCUGUAUGUUAAGAAUAAUUUUUAAUAAAACAUAAUUUAAAUUGAAA
Bombyx mori (domestic silkworm) is the source of this 1500-nucleotide long non-coding RNA. RefSeq lists it as uncharacterized. The record is from RefSeq and is a predicted model, not a curated record. The transcript has 3 exons. NCBI's taxonomy places the organism in Eukaryota, Metazoa, Arthropoda, Insecta, Lepidoptera, Bombycidae.